UCCGUAGGUGAACCUGCGGAGGGAUCAUUACACAAUAUGAAAGCGGGCUGGCAUCCUUCGGGGUUACAGCCUUGCUGAAUUAUUCACCCGUGUCUUUUGCGUACUUCUUGUUUCCUUGGUGGGUUCGCCCACCAUAGGACAAACCAUAAACCUUUUGUAAUUGCAAUCAGCGUCAGAAAAAAAAAAUUAAUAAUUACAACUUUUAACAACGGAUCUCUUGGUUCUGGCAUCGAUGAAGAACGCAGCGAAAUGCGAUAAGUAGUGUGAAUUGCAGAAUUCAGUGAAUCAUCGAAUCUUUGAACGCACAUUGCGCCCUUUGGUAUUCCAAAGGGCAUGCCUGUUCGAGCGUCAUUUGUACCCUCAAGCUUUGCUUGGUGUUGGGCGUCUUGUCUCCAGUUCGCUGGAGACUCGCCUUAAAGUAAUUGGCAGCCGGCCUACUGGUUUCGGAGCGCAGCACAAGUCGCGCUCUCUUCCAGCCAAGGUCAGCAUCCACAAAGCCUUUUUUCAACUUUUGACCUCGGAUCAGGUAGGGAUACCCGCUGAACUUAAGCAUAUCAAUAAGCGGAGGA
Molecule: ribosomal RNA, 569 nt
Filed under: Alternaria alternata
Lineage: Eukaryota; Fungi; Ascomycota; Dothideomycetes; Pleosporales; Pleosporaceae
Description: eukaryotic LSU rRNA
Rfam family: 5.8S ribosomal RNA (bases 198-351)
Source: RNAcentral